Molecule: ribosomal RNA, 610 nt
Filed under: uncultured bacterium
Lineage: Bacteria
Description: bacterial SSU rRNA
Rfam family: Bacterial small subunit ribosomal RNA
Source: RNAcentral
UGACGCUGGCGGCAUGCCUAACACAUGCAAGUCGAACGGCAGCACAGGUAGCAAUACCGGGUGGCGAGUGGCGGACGGGUGAGUAAUGCAUCGGGAUCUACCCAAACGUGGGGGAUAACGUAGGGAAACUUACGCUAAUACCGCAUACGUCCUAUGGGAGAAAGCGGGGGCUCGCAAGACCUCGCGCGGUUGGACGAACCGAUGUGCGAUUAGCUAGUUGGCGGGGUAAUGGCCCACCAAGGCGACGAUCGCUAGCUGGUCUGAGAGGAUGAUCAGCCACACUGGGACUGAGACACGGCCCAGACUCCUACGGGAGGCAGCAGUGGGGAAUAUUGGACAAUGGGCGCAAGCCUGAUCCAGCAAUGCCGCGUGUGUGAAGAAGGCCUUCGGGUUGUAAAGCACUUUUAUCAGGAGCGAAAUGCCAUGGGCUAAUACCCCGUGGAGCUGACGGUACCUGAGGAAUAAGCACCGGCUAACUUCGUGCCAGCAGCCGCGGUAAUACGAAGGGUGCAAGCGUUAAUCGGAAUUACUGGGCGUAAAGGGUGCGUANGCGGGUAUUUAAGUCUGCCGUGAAAUCCCCGGGCUCAACCUGGGAAUGGCGGUGGAUACU